RNAcentral lists this long non-coding RNA (2003 nucleotides) under Capsicum annuum. RNAcentral describes it as "long non-coding RNA (CANN_LNC019509)". The record is from RNAcentral. Lineage: Eukaryota; Viridiplantae; Streptophyta; Magnoliopsida; Solanales; Solanaceae.
AAAUUCAUAUAGAAGGAGAGAAACAACCUAAUAUAUUUAUAAUAUAAAGUUAAUAAAGAACUUCAAGUUACAUGUCAAUUUAAAGAUAAAAGUCAUCCCACAAAUACUUGAGACGACUUAUGUACACCCAAAAAGGCUCUCUAGGACAAAAUCUUGGUAGGCAUUAAUUAAUCUCUCGCCUCAAGGAUCACGGAGAGAAUUUUCUUAAAUAGCUAAUGCUUCCCAAUGCGAGAUUUCUACAUAAUUUUCUGCAUCUACACGUUUUAAUUCAAAUAAAUUAAUAAAAUUAGCAACCAUAAUACUAGGUGACAUCUUAAAAGGCUUGAACUCUUUUAGUUUCUUCUCUCUUUUCCUUCUAUAGCCCUCUAAUUCUGUAACAAAUUUUGUGUCGUCCUGGGGACAACAUUUCAUAUGAUCUCACGACCUCAAAAACAUGUCCUUCGAUAGCGUGCUCUUCCACUUUAUCUCUUUGUUCGAUAUCCAGAACUCUCACUUGGAGUGAUUCGAGUUUGUUUCCGUUCAGCCAUGUCUGGAAUAGGAACAAAGAAACAAUAAAAAUGGUGGAACCACUCAAUGUGACCUUUUAUGUCACAAUGUAUCAUAGAAGGCAAAAUCAGUUUAAGAAAAUUUAGGAAUUAAUUAAGACAAAAAUAUCAAGCCUAAUUCAUAUACUUAUUUAAGCCACUUUAAUAGUUUCAUUUAAUAAUUAUAAAUACUUAUUCUUAAUCAAAAAAGAGAAGUUGUGGAACAUUUAGAGGAAAUGAAUAAAAAGCAGUACUAAAAUUAUUACACUUUUUUCUAGAAAGCACUUUCUCUAGACUAUUCUUGUGUAUGUGUACAGCACCACAAAGUCAAAAAGCCUUUCUCUUUUCUUUACUUUAUUAACAAAGAGAAAAAAAAGAGUACACUGUUAAUAUACUUCUUAAUUUCUUCCACAAGUCCCCCCUUUUUUAUUAUGAUACAAAGUUCUUUGACAGUUCUAUGGAGAAACGAUGGAAAAAGAAAAAUGAUCAAAUCUAAAAUGUAUUUAUAGCGUUUCCCCCCACAAAUCAGGGUUGGUAUUCCGAUUUACGUCGAAUUCAUACUCCCCCAUUUUUUUCUAACCAUCUAUGCUCUCUAACAGGUAUUUUCAAGUUCUUUAACAAUUAAUUUCAAGAAAUUUUCUCACUUGAUACCAAGAAAUUACUAUUCAAUUAUUUCAAGAAAUUUUUUCACUGUAUCAAUAAAUUACCAUUCAGAAAUGGAGCAUUUUAAACCUGACUUUGAUGUCAUUAAUAUAAAAAUAGGAGUAAAAUCAAUGUGUACCUUAAUAUGUUGCAGCAGAACGAGUUGAUUUUGCUAUCGAAAGAAUCUGCCCCAAGUUUAUUUUGAAUCUCUUAAAAUCAAAGUGUGAUUAUAACGAACUAGAUGUCUUCUGGGUGUAAUUUUUAGAUGGAGUAUGAAAGAAAUUUCUUCUUUCUGUCUCAGUGUUCUUUUGAUUACUUUUCUUCGUCCUCUAUCAAUUUUUCCUCUGAGGAAGUGCUAUCUUUAAUUUAAGAAACUUGUGAUAUAUGUUCACCAGUUAAAUAACCGUUCCCUCUCUUUUUCAAAGUAGUUGUAACUACUCAUAUGGAAGUUAAUCUUAUCCUUUCUUCUGAAAAAUAAUGGGUCGGAUCAGGUCGAUCUACAUGGGCGACCCGUGACCCAAAAUGUAACAAUUUCCCUUUGACUUGAAAUUGUGAAAAUAAAAAAGAAAAGACGAUAAAAAAAUUUAAAACACAUGCAAUUAUUUAACAUAACAUCAACAUUAAUAUUAUUAUGAGUAGUUAGGCCAGUCUUACAUAAUAUAUACGACCGAUCAAGCACACAUGCAUCACUUUUAUUCAUGCUACAUACUUUUACAUGCAUAAGGUAACAACUAGCUAGUUUAUUCUUGUCAUGUUACACCAUAUCACACGUAAGCCUAGGAUACAACCUCUAGUGUAUCGUACUAUAAGCUUUUAAUGAUAUAGCCCUGAUCUGAU